GGCGAGAUAGUAUAGUGGCUAGUACUGCUGGUUCUGAUUAUUCAAGCACUUCCAGCCGACCUGGGUUCGAUCCCCAGUCACGCCU
Molecule: transfer RNA, 85 nt
Filed under: Rhodotorula mucilaginosa
Lineage: Eukaryota; Fungi; Basidiomycota; Microbotryomycetes; Sporidiobolales; Sporidiobolaceae
Also listed under: 1 other name
Description: tRNA-Gln
Rfam family: tRNA
About the family: Transfer RNA (tRNA) molecules are approximately 80 nucleotides in length. Their secondary structure includes four short double-helical elements and three loops (D, anti-codon, and T loops).
Source: RNAcentral